This 320-nucleotide unclassified non-coding RNA is filed under the name Candidatus Kentrum sp. FW. RNAcentral's name for it is "Candidatus Kentron sp. FW Long range pseudoknot". The record is from RNAcentral. Lineage: Bacteria; Pseudomonadati; Pseudomonadota; Gammaproteobacteria.
ACCGAGGAAGGUGAUUAUCAGACCAAGCUGCGUAAUCUAAGGCGAUUCUUGGAGCAAGGAAACAAGGCAAAAGUAACGUUAUGGUUCAGAGGUCGUGAGAUGGCACAUCAGGAUCUGGGCGUACGGCUUCUCAAACGAAUAGAAGCGGACUUGGAAGAAUUCUCCAAGGUUGAACAGUUUCCCAAGUUGGAAGGGAGGCGCCUAUCGAUGGUGCUAUCGCCCAAAAAAUAAGCUCAUAAGAAAUAAGCCCACAAAAAACUGCGCCAAGAUACUACCAUUCCGAAUAAAUCACCGCGAUGAGCAUAUCUCGACCUAUGCCA